RNAcentral lists this ribosomal RNA (156 nucleotides) under Solanum tuberosum (potato). Its description in RNAcentral is "rRNA 5_8S_rRNA". It matches the Rfam family "5.8S ribosomal RNA". Rfam says of the family: 5.8S ribosomal RNA (5.8S rRNA) is a component of the large subunit of the eukaryotic ribosome. It is transcribed by RNA polymerase I as part of the 45S precursor that also contains 18S and 28S rRNA. Functionally, it is thought that 5.8S rRNA may be involved in ribosome translocation. The record is from RNAcentral. Lineage: Eukaryota; Viridiplantae; Streptophyta; Magnoliopsida; Solanales; Solanaceae.
AACUCUCGGCAACGAAUAUCUUAGCUCUCAUAUUAAUAAAGAACGUAGCGAAAUGCGAUACUUGGUGUGAAUUGCAGAAUCACGUGAACCAUCGACUCUUAGAAUGCAUUUUGCACCCGAAGCCAUUAGGCCAAGGGCACUUUUGCCUGGGCGUCA